This 450-nucleotide ribosomal RNA is filed under the name uncultured bacterium. Its description in RNAcentral is "partial 16S ribosomal RNA". It matches the Rfam family "Bacterial small subunit ribosomal RNA", at positions 354 to 796 of the family's 1533-position model. The record is from RNAcentral.
GUGGGGAAUCUUCCGCAAUGGACGAAAGUCUGACGGAGCAACGCCGCGUGAGUGAAGAAGGUUUUCGGAUCGUAAAGCUCUUUCGUUAGGGACGAACGUGCUCUUUGUGAAUAAUGAGGAGUAAUGACGGUACCUAAAUAAGAAGCCACGGCUAACUACGUGCCAGCAGCCGCGGUAAUACGUAGGUGGCAAGCGUUGUCCGGAAUUAUUGGGCGUAAAGCGCGCGCAGGCGGGAUAUCAAGUCUGUCUUAAAAGUGCGAGGCUCAACCUCGUGAGGGGACAGAAACUGGUAUUCUUGAGUGUCGGAGAGGAAAGUGGAAUUCCAAGUGUAGCGGUGAAAUGCGUAGAGAUUUGGAAGAACACCAGUGGCGAAGGCGACUUUCUGGACGGUGUCUGACACUGAGGCGCGAAAGCUAGGGGAGCGAACGGGAUUAGAAACCCUGGUAGUCC